This 74-nucleotide transfer RNA is filed under the name Caerostris extrusa. Its description in RNAcentral is "tRNA-Thr". It matches the Rfam family "tRNA". Rfam says of the family: Transfer RNA (tRNA) molecules are approximately 80 nucleotides in length. Lineage: Eukaryota; Metazoa; Arthropoda; Arachnida; Araneae; Araneidae. The record is from RNAcentral.
GCCGCCAUAGCUCAGUGGUUAGAGCACUGGUCUCGUAAAACCAGGGGUCGUGAGUUCGAAUUUCACUGGCUGCU